CCUACGGGUGGCAGCAGUGAGGAAUAUUGGUCAAUGGGCGCGCGCCUGAACCAGCCAAGUAGCGUGAAGGAUGACUGCCCUACGGGUUUUCAACUUCUUUUAUAAAGAAAUAAAGUGAGGCACGUGUGCCUUUUUGUCUGUACUUUAUGAAUAAGGAUCGGCUAACUCCGUGCCAGCAGCCGCGGUAAUACGGAGGAUCCGAGCGUGAUCCGGAUUUAUUGGGUUUAAGGGGAGCGUAGAUGGGUUGUUAAGUCAGUUGUGAAAGUUUGCGGCUCAACCGUAAGAUUGCAAUUGAUACUGGCAGCCUUGAGUACAGUUGAGGUAGGCGGAAUUCGUGGUGUAGCGGUGAAAGGCUUAGAUAUCACGAAGAACUCCGAUUGCGAAGGCAGCCUACUAAACUGCCACUGACAUUGAUGCUCGAAAGUGUGGGUAUCAAACAGGAUUAGAUACCCGAGUAGUC
This 460-nucleotide ribosomal RNA is filed under the name uncultured bacterium. Its description in RNAcentral is "partial 16S ribosomal RNA". It matches the Rfam family "Bacterial small subunit ribosomal RNA", at positions 338 to 795 of the family's 1533-position model. The record is from RNAcentral.